CAUCCCAGGCGGUAGUUUGGACAAGUGCCGCGUUUACAAGCUAGUCAUCGAGCCGAACGUCAACGCUAGCUGGCUAUCGUGAGUGAUGCUAAAGCUAACUGGCUAUGGGACAGAAGCAGAUUCAGCUGCCCAGACAACAUGGCAGAGUUGGUAUAGUGACGGGAGGCAUCAGUGGAAUCUGCUUUGAGACCGCAAGACACAUGGCCAGCCUGGGGGCACACUUUAUCAUAGCUGGACAGCAGGAGCGGGAGGGUGUGUCUGCUGUGAAGAGGAUUCGUGAGGAGAACAGAGAGGCCAAAGGUCACAGUCCCCACAACCCUGUUUGGUUUUGUGUCUCCUUGGCUCUGGAUAUUACUGAUUGGCUGGAGAGUGAACACACCUUUUCAAAGCCACAGUUCUGUAAACAGCUGAGGGAUGAGUGUAACGGCUGUUGGAAGGAGUGGAGGACCAAGGUGCAGCGUGUGGUGUUUGAGCAGUUGGAUUUGGCGUCUUUGCUGUCAGUAAGGCAAUUCAUCAAGACAUUCAAGAG
Oncorhynchus tshawytscha (Chinook salmon) is the source of this 529-nucleotide long non-coding RNA. The record is from Ensembl. Lineage: Eukaryota; Metazoa; Chordata; Actinopteri; Salmoniformes; Salmonidae.